CCUACGGGCGGCAGCAGUGGGGAAUAUUGGACAAUGGGCGAAAGCCUGAUCCAGCCAUGCCGCGUGUGUGAAGAAGGCCUUCGGGUUGUAAAGCACUUUCAGUGGGGAAGAAAGCCUUGGGGCUAAUACCCUCGAGGAAGGACAUCACCCACAGAAGAAGCACCGGCUAACUCCGUGCCAGCAGCCGCGGUAAUACGGAGGGUGCGAGCGUUAAUCGGAAUUACUGGGCGUAAAGCGCGCGUAGGCGGUCUGAUAAGCCGGUUGUGAAAGCCCCGGGCUCAACCUGGGAACGGCAUCCGGAACUGUCAGGCUAGAGUGCAGGAGAGGAAGGUAGAAUUCCCGGUGUAGCGGUGAAAUGCGUAGAGAUCGGGAGGAAUACCAGUGGCGAAGGCGGCCUUCUGGACUGACACUGACGCUGAGGUGCGAAAGCGUGGGUAGCAAACAGGAUUAGAUACCCGAGUAGU
This 464-nucleotide ribosomal RNA is filed under the name Vreelandella stevensii. RNAcentral's name for it is "partial 16S ribosomal RNA". It matches the Rfam family "Bacterial small subunit ribosomal RNA", at positions 338 to 794 of the family's 1533-position model. The record is from RNAcentral. Lineage: Bacteria; Pseudomonadati; Pseudomonadota; Gammaproteobacteria; Oceanospirillales; Halomonadaceae.